GUCUCUGACUAUAAUCAAAUAAUUGUAUAUUUUGAAUGCAUUAUUUGGCUUUCAGAAGUCUUUUGUAACUUACAACUCCCAAACUUGAGUGGACAAGCAUGCCCAUCCAUAGGAAAGUUAACCAGCCUCAUAGGACAGUCAGCAUUGAUGGUAAGCCUAGGGACAUUGAAAUAAAUGGUUCCGAGUUAGUAUGAUGGACAAAUCAUUUGGGUAGAGGAAGCUGAAUUGGGAAAACCUCACCUCAUAGUGUAUAAAAUAGUUCCAUUCUGCAUUAUUCUGAAGAGUUUAUUAGGGGUUGUCAUAUUGUGGGCAAUUGAUUUUUUGCCAUUCCUGAAAAAAGUGUCAGGUGUCCAGAUUUUACUGACCAUUAAGUUAUUCAAACUCAAAAUCUCAGUUGGCCCCCCAAACUUCAACCUCUCAUCAGUCCAAGUCUGGCGGAAGAAAACGUCCAUUGUAUAUUCCUAAGAAAAAAAAUAAGAUAUUCAUGCAAACUGGGGAGAUAGUUUAUUAAGAAUAGUUGAUUCAUUAGCUUAUAUACCCAAUUCUAAAAUUUAAGAAAUAAAACAACUUUUUUAUGACAAUAGCCUAUCAGAAAAACUAUGAUUUCAGUAAAUUAUUAUUUUUCUCAAACGCAAAGUUUGCAACAUUAUUAUAAAAGAUAGUAUUGUGUCGAGCAAACCUCCCUCCUUCACCUUUACCCUCUUCCACAUUCUUCGUCCUUUCUAUUAGUCAUCCACCUCUCCAUCUAUUGGCCUAUCAAUUUUGCCUUCAUUAGCUUAGAAGAAAAAUAUGAAAAGAUUUACAGUCUAGGUUUUGUGUUGGCCAUCCCACCAUCAGUUAGUCUAACCAUUCCCCUCAAUGUCUUGUCUACCUUCAAAGGUGUCUCCAAGAACCCUGGUACCAUGAAAUCAACUUCCAAGGAUAGACAAACUUUGCUUGAUAAGUGUACUCUGGCUGCACAUCGUAAUUAUUUUAUAUUGUUCUCAGAGAACAUAAAAGCAAAUGUUACCACAAUUACUCAGAGGAUCAUUUAAGUAUGCAUAAUUAGAACUUUGAGUUUUAAUUUGUGGCUUUUAUGAAAUAACAUUAGAAAUCUUAAGAAUUAUGGUGAGGGCAUUGGAAAAGUCAAUAAUAAAUAACAGCUUGUAAGUAUAUCAAAAUAUUGCCAAUAAUUGCUUUGACUACUUUAUAAGUUCCUUUAUGAGACCUAUUAUUACAAGUGGUGAUUAGAUUUUCAAAGUAUAAUUUGACACAUAAUAUAUCCAUAUAAUAAUGGUCUAGAGUAUAACCAAUCUCCACUGUAUAAAUAUACUUUAAAAAUGAGACACAUACAUAAAAUGAAGUUCCAAGUGUUCCCCAGACUUCAAUAAUAUAAUAUAAUAUGGUUGUGAUUAUUUAUUCUGAAGGUGAGUCAGUAGUCAAUGAAAAAUAUGAUAGUAAAAUAAUUGAGGAUUCAGGAUAAUUCUGACUCCCCCUUCUUUCAAGACCUAAUACAUUUAUCUCUUAAAUAAAGUCCUCCUCCUUCUCCUUCACUUCCCUGUUUUCUUUCUUACUUUUGUCCCUCCCUCUCCCUUUCCCUUCCUCUUGUACUGCUUCUUUUUUCUUUUCUUCCCUUCUUGCUUUUUUCUUUUCUUGACAACUCAAAAAAGCAGAAGAUAAAAAGUCUCCAGUAACUACUUAUCCAGUUACAUUUUCCUAAUUAAAUGAGGCAACUAUAUAAAGAUUUAUUUUUACUUCAAUUUUAGUAUUUAUAUUUUACUUUUAGGGGGAGAUAGUACCUGAGAACUAUGAAAAAAUACCAUGAUACACUUUGUUCUAGAAGACUAGUUCAGAUUUUCAUUGCCACUUACUAUAAAUACUCUCUUACGAAUCCUACAGCCAUCUGUACCUGGAACAGAGUUCCCAGAACACCUACUGGUCCAUUCGUAACACAAAAGGUACAACAUACUAGCCUUUCCAAAUGAUGCUCUCUACUGUUUAGUAAAAUAUACUGAGAAGGAUGUGCCACAGAAAAUAGCUAUAUUUUAAGUUUCAUAGAUAUUCUCAAUAUACUCUUAUGUGG
Molecule: long non-coding RNA, 2062 nt
Filed under: Lynx pardinus (Iberian lynx)
Lineage: Eukaryota; Metazoa; Chordata; Mammalia; Carnivora; Felidae
Source: RNAcentral